RNAcentral lists this ribosomal RNA (495 nucleotides) under uncultured bacterium. RNAcentral describes it as "partial 16S ribosomal RNA". It matches the Rfam family "Bacterial small subunit ribosomal RNA", at positions 28 to 506 of the family's 1533-position model. The record is from RNAcentral.
GAUGAACGCUGGCGGCGUGCCUAAUACAUGCAAGUCGAGCGAACGGACGAGAAGCUUGCUUUUCUGAUGUUAGCGGCGGACGGGUGAGUAACACGUGGAUAACCUACCUAUAAGACUGGGAUAACUUCGGGAAACCGGAGCUAAUACCGGAUAAUAUUUUGAACCGCAUGGUUCAAAAGUGAAAGACGGUCUUGCUGUCACUUAUAGAUGGAUCCGCUCUGCAUUAGCUAGUUGGUAGGUAACGGCUUACCAAGGCAACGAUGCAUAGCCGACCUGAGAGGGUGAUCGGCCACACUGGAACUGAGACACGGUCCAGACUCCUACGGGAGGCAGCAGUAGGGAAUCUUCCGCAAUGGGCGAAAGCCUGACGGAGCAACGCCGCGUGAGUGAUGAAGGUCUUCGGAUCGUAAAACUCUGUUAUUAGGGAAGAACAUAUGUGUAAGUAACUGUGCACAUCUUGACGGUACCUAAUCAGAAAGCCACGGCUAACUACGU